CGGUUAAGACACCGCCCUUUCACGGCGGUAACUCGAGUUCGAUUCUCGAUGGAGUCA
Molecule: transfer RNA, 57 nt
Filed under: Eubacterium pyruvativorans
Lineage: Bacteria; Bacillati; Bacillota; Clostridia; Eubacteriales; Eubacteriaceae
Rfam family: tRNA
About the family: Transfer RNA (tRNA) molecules are approximately 80 nucleotides in length. Their secondary structure includes four short double-helical elements and three loops (D, anti-codon, and T loops).
Source: Rfam by way of RNAcentral